Molecule: long non-coding RNA, 12048 nt
Filed under: Triticum aestivum (bread wheat)
Lineage: Eukaryota; Viridiplantae; Streptophyta; Magnoliopsida; Poales; Poaceae
Description: long non-coding RNA (TAES_LNC024834)
Source: RNAcentral
AAAAAAAUUAUAGGUGAAAUGGUACAAAAAUAAUAUUGUUGCGGAGCCUCAAUCUUCUCUGAAUUCUGAUGUGCGGCAAUGGAUUCAGAAUCAGAAGCACCAUUGCAAACAUACUAAAAGAGCAACUGCACAGGGCACAACUUAAGUUCAAGCUUCAUCUUGACAAACAUAGAUGAGAUCCUUCCGAAACUUUAUGAGUUGGGGAGCAUGUAUUUCUCAAGCUGCAGACAUUUGCAGAUUCUUCCCUUGUGAACAGGCCUGAUCUGAAGUUAGAUUUGAAGUACUUUGGUCCAUUCACAAUCCUAGCUAAGUUUGGCACUAUGUCAUAUCGUUUGGGCUUGCUUGAAGGAGGCUUACUUCACCAUGUGUUCCAUGUAUAGCAUCUUCAUCAUCCAUGUAUAGCAUUACUCGUGUUCCAUGUAUCCCAAGUUCCCAACUGAAGCAGCAUGUGCGAGACCAUACGCCAGUGUUCGCUGCAUUACCUGAACCUCCUGACCAGAGGGCUCUAGGAGUUAUCCCUGAAAAAAUAUUGGAUUCUCGCCCUGUGACGACCCGGUGCAUCGUCUCCGCGCGGUUGCGCAUUUGCAUGCAUCAUCGUCGUGCAGUCGUCCUCUCUUCUCCGGACCAUCAAGUCAUGGAGCAGUGUAGUACAGCACAAAAGAUGCCACGAGAUCGCAUCUCGAGCUCCUCAGUUCACUAUCACUGGCCCCAUCUUUUCUCCCCCCGUUCCCACUCCCUGCCGAUGUCGAAGCUGUCGGUUCGCUCACAACCACCGGCUUCUUCUCGGGCUCACCGAUGGCAUCCAUGAUUAGACCAUUACUGCAGCGACACUUCACCCUGUGAUUCGUUCCAAAGCCCAAAAACUUGCAAAGAAUGGCCUCGGCGGAGCUCGGCAAGAAGCUACGGAUCCUGAUCAUCCCCUUGUUCGUCACCAGCCACAUCGGCCCCCACACCGACCUCGCCGUCCGCCUCGCCGCGGCAAGGCCGGGCACCGUCGAGCCCACGCUGGCGGUCACCCCGGCAAACGUCUCGGUCGUUCGAUCGACGCUCCAGCGGCACGGCGCGUCCGCGGCAACCAGCGCCAUCAAGAUAGCCACCUACCUUUCCCGGAGGUGGAUGGCCUCCCGCUGGGCGUCGAGAACCUCUCUGCCGCCGGGGCCGCCGGGUGGCGCAUCUUCGACGCGGCCAUCGACGAGGCGCUGACGCGGCCCGCGCAGGAGGCGCUUAUCAGGGAGCUGUCCCCUGACGCCGUCCUCACCGACGUCCACUUCUUCCGGAACUCCGUCAUCGCCGGCGACCUGGGCGUGCCGUGCAUUGCGUUCAGCGUCAUCGACACCUUCUCGAACCUUGCCAUGAGCCACCUCGGCGGUAAAGUCGACUGCGACUCCGGUUGCAAGGAGGUGAUCGUACCACGUUUUCCAGGCCCGGAGGUACGGAUCCCGAGGACCAAACUGCCCGAGUUCUUGAGGAUCCAGGAAGAACACGACCGAUUCAACCCGCGGUUGGCGGGAAUACGCAGGUGCUUCGGCACGCCUUCAACACUUUCUUGGACAUGGAGAGGCAAUACCCCGUGUAAACAACAACGAGUUCAGAGCAAUAAACAGAACUAGCAAAUAUGCACGUGCGUUGCAACAGGUGAAAAAUACAUGUCCUAAACCAAAUAUGCAUGGCGACGGGAAUGUGUAUGUUAAGGAGUAACAUGAAGGAGAAUUUUGAUUUCAGCCAACCAUUUUGUACAAAUGGCUAAUAAACUUAUGCAUUGUACAAUUUGCGGGUUUGAUUAAAGAUAGUCAUCUCCAACUGUGAUGAAAAAAUAAACUCAAGCAUAAGAAUAAAAAGACAUACAAAAGAUAACAAAAUUCAAAAUACCAAAACACAAUUUUUUAUCCUCUGCAUAUUUUCAUAUUUCUGCCUUUCUGUGUGCAUUUUUUUUCUUUCGUAUUGGCUCCAUGUUUGAAUAUUUCUUCCUCUCAUGUGUCUUAUUUUGCAACUGGAUUGAAUCUUAAUUGUUUUAUUUUGCCGAUAGGUUUCAUAACGCUGAUUUUGUUUUUUUCUAAGGACUAUGAUAUUUGACACAUGUGUGCCAUAUAAGCAAAACUGUCACACCUUUACUUUUUUCACUUCAAAGUACCACAUGAUCUCCCUUCCUUCGACCCCACUUUCUUCCGAACGACCUGCAGGCUCGCCCGAGAAACCUGCUUCUCCCGUACAUAUCGCGCACCCACCUCGGAGAAAAUUGCCACUUCGUCACGUCUACCACAUGAUAAAAAAAAAUGUGCAUGUGGGAUUCAAACCCACACCUUCUUGGCACCAAAGCGCGCUACCACAACAACCUCACCCUUAGUAUUUGUUGCUCGAACUAAAGAAACUAAUCGUUUUGAUCCCUUUUUUUACAAUUGUGUUACUACAAAAAAAUACAGAAAAUUACCAUGAUUUUCCCUCAGGACAAAGUUACCAUGGUAUUCGCAUGCAAGUUAUCAGGCCUGUGUUGCGUAAGUUACCGUGCUAUUUACAUAGAACUUACCAAGUAAUAUGUUUCAACAACUACACCCCUUUCGAAGUUACCACUGUGUUAUAAGGUCUUCGAUGUGUAAAAUACCAUGGUACUUACACAUAAGUUAUCAGGGUAUAUGUACAUCAACCUCGUCCCUGGUCAAAGUUACCAUGGGGAAUUGUACAUGAGUUACCGGGUCUACAGUUCGUAUAUUAUCAUGGUACUUACACCCAAAAACCUGAGUGUGUUUCGGUAACUUUUUUCAUAGGUCAAAAAUUACCACGAUGUUUUUGCGUAACUUAUCACGCCUAUAGCAGGUCAAAGUGGGCCGUUUUUCUGGGCCAACCCAUGAGCAUGUGUGCCUCCUCAUGACACUAAACAUUAUGUGGCUUUUCUGUGGCACAUCAUUUGUUGUGUUUAUCUAAGAGGCCCCGCGAGGCGAGUGUAUGUUUUUAACAACUUGUUUUCCUUUGGUAAAAAGUUACCAUUAUGUUUAUAUUGUAAGUUAUCAGUUAUGCGGUGCUUAUAUUAUCAUGUUAUUCACACAAAAAUUAUCGGGGAUGUUUUGAACAACUUUUUUCCCGGACAAAAAGUUAUCAUGGUGAUUCUAGUUAACCUAUCAAGCCUGCAAUGCUUAAAAUAUCAUGCUAUUUACACAAAAUUUAUCAGGGGUAUGUUUCNNNNNNNNNNNNNNNNNNNNNNNNNNNNNNNNNNNNNNNNNNNNNNNNNNNNNNNNNNNNNNNNNNNNNNNNNNNNNNNNNNNNNNNNNNNNNNNNNNNNNNNNNNNNNNNNNNNNNNNNNNNNNNNNNNNNNNNNNNNNNNNNNNNNNNNNNNNNNNNNNNNNNNNNNNNNNNNNNNNNNNNNNNNNNNNNNNNNNNNNNNNNNNNNNNNNNNNNNNNNNNNNNNNNNNNNNNNNNNNNNNNNNNNGUGCAUAUGUAUUCAUGCUAUAUAUUUACACAUGAAAAUACCAGAGGAGGGAGGUAUAGUACUGUGCUAUUUACAUAGAAGAUACCGGAGUAUCUUUAAAAAAAUCUUCCCUAUGGUCAAAGUUACCAUGGUGUUUCUAUCUCAGUUAUCAGAUGUGCGCUACGUAUAUUACCAUCUAUUUACACGUAAAUUAUCUGGUUUCUUUUCACAUUUUUCUUCCCCAACGGUUAAAGUUACCACGAUGUUUGUAUCUAAAUUAUCAGGUCUAUGGCGUAAAUGUUAUCGUGCUAUUUACAGAAAUUACCGAGGGCCGGGGUUCAACAAAUUUCUUUCCAAUGAUCAAAGUUACCAUGAUGCUUUCAUCAAAGUUAUCACGCCUUCAAUGCUUAUGACCAUGCUACUUACACAUAAUAUACCGCGUGGUAUACAAAAGUUAUCAUGUUGGUGUGCGUCAUUUAUCGUGGUGGUGAUGGAGAAUUUACCACGGGAAAAGUUUAUGUGCCAGGUUUGAUAGAUGAAACAAAAGCUUUUUAGUGCUAAAAUAUUGAAGGCAAAACAUGUCAAAAACAUUAUUUUUCCUUAGCUUGUUCAACAAUGAGUGUCAUAGGUGAGAUAGAAAGCGCGUGGGGCCGUAACUGAUGAUACCAUUCUCUACCCCUUUUCCUUCCGUGCAUUCUCUCUGUUUCCUUCCUUACUCAGCCCUCCCUCUUGAGGAACGUGAAUCACGUCUGUUUCUCCUUGUUUCCUUAUUUCUGAAAUCAGCCUCUCUUUCUUUAAUUUCUUUAGCCCCUCUCUCUUUCCCUCCUUAUCAUCUCUCUCUUUCUCUCUUAUUUCCAAGAGGACUUCUUAACUCCCAGGGAAGUUAAUGACAUAUAUAAAUUGGGUGGAUCACAUGUAAGGGGGCGAUGUGGUAUUAUUUGACAGGCGAGUUGACCUUUUAACACUGAAUAUAACCUAGUUUGGUUGGUUGUGGCGUUAUGCGCUCAACAGUAGGUUGCGUGUUCGAUUUAGGCUCAAACAUUUUUUGCCUUGGUCUGGCUCGUCAGGAUAAGUGGGCCUGAUUCCUUGGGCCAUCGGACGCAUCAAACGGGAUGGUUAAUUCGGCCUACUCGUGUGGAUGUUGGGUUUAGUCCUUCUCUCGGACCAGAGUAGAUAUCGAGGAAGGAUUUUUUAGACGAAAGCGAAACUGGCGUACAAUGGGUUUUGACACGGACGGACGAAAAUUUUAAGAUGGACGAAAUUAUGAUGAGAAGAAGCAAUAGCCCUUUUAUUAUUACUAGCACAAAAGUCCGUGCGUUGCAACGGGGAAGAAAAUUGAUGCAUUGAUUUGAGAAAAAGGCUAGUUUCGCCAUUCACCAAAAUGCCCAUCAACGCGGCAUACGGGUCAUGCAUGUACGCUUUUAUCAUGUCAUCAUUUCCUUUAAUUAGAGCCAUGCAUGUAUCUUUUUCUCAUUUAAUUUAAUUAGAGCCAAUCACACCAUGCCAAGCCCAUAAAUCCUUCUAAUUAGAGCCAAUACAACAUGGUUGCAUCGUCCAUAUCCCCUUCAUUAUGGAGUUUUCUCUCCUUUUGGUAUGCUGUUUCCUCUCUUUCUUGGUUUUGAAGAUGACUUGCUGAUAUAAGUUGAAUCUACUACAACUCACGUGUGUAUAUAAGUUGGUGAAAUUUGAUCUAAAGGAGCGAGGUAGGACUAAUAUUGAUUGAAUCAGUUCUUUACUGCAAUCCGAUUAUAGGCCGGCUGGCUAUAGCCUUCGUGGCCCAACCCAGAGGUUAGGGGUUUGAUACCCAGUUAAAACAUAUAUUUUUUACCUUUUUUCAUGAAAGUGGCAGGAGCAGGCCCAUCAAAGGAAGGUCGAUGCCCAGCCAGUUGGGCCGUUGCACCUUCCGACUAUGUUCUCCCAUCGCAUGAAAACACGGCCAGAAAUUCACGUGAAUAGUACCACCUCAUUAGAUUAAAAAAAGUCCAAAUAACAAAAUCACGUAGGCGGGACGAAACCAAGAAUACCACCUUGCUUUAUUAGUAGGUAUAGAUAUAGAUAUAGACUAGUACAAAUGCCCGUGCGUUGCACCGGGCGGAAAAAGAGGCACACCAUGCUUCAUGUGAAAAAAAAGUGUGUUCCUCCAAACAUUAUUGAGCAAUAAAUAAAGCGUGUAGUUAGCCUAAAAACCUGCUUCAUGUGUUAAAUAUGGAAAUAUUCUUAUUUUUAAUAAAAGUUAACGUUUACAUAAAAAUCGGGACACUUUUUGAAGAAUAGUUAACAUUUUUAUGAAAUUGGAACAUUUCUUUAAAUAGGAAUUUUUAACAGAUGUUUUUUAAUAAUGUUUUGUCUUUUUGAAAACUAUAUUUUAUUUGUAAUAUUUUUUGCACUAUUUGGGCUUGGCCCAAACAUAAGGACUUGCCUACACAAACACGCACACUUUAAGAAAAAGAAGACAAUGUCGUUGCGAGAAGAACUGCCCACGUUGUCUCUCUUCCCGUUCCCCAUCUCACUAUCCCUAGUAAACAAAUAAUUGACCCUCUUCAUUUAAUUGCCCAUGCGUUGCAACAUGAACGUACCAUAAUUUGCAUGUUUGAAAAGUCACCUGGGAUUCAGUUAUCUUGCAAAUGCAUAAAAAUAUUUUGGUGUUGUUGCUCCAUGUAGUCCCCUUGUCUCUCUUGCGGAAGAAUGAAGAAUGAACUGUGAUAUAAUUUGCAUGUUUGAAAAACUUGACUGAGAUUCAGUCAUCUAGUCUAUAGCAAAUACAUAACUCAAUGUCUCACUAUGAUAUGGAUAAAUCUUAUGGCUCUCUUAAACACAAACAAUGAUAAUUCUCGUGGGAUCUUCUGUCACAUAAAGUGUGAGAAUUGCAAGAGCAGGACAAAUAAUCGUACAUAAAAGAUAAAUUGAGCACUGAGACAUCAAAGUAAAUCAGAGCUAGUCAUGAUUCACCCACCCUUGCUCUGAUGGUUUUAUGCAUUUGCUCACCUCUCAACAAGGCGACAACUAUAACAUUGUACUGCCCCAAGUAGUGUUCCUCUAUGUCUACUCAUGGUUUCAUUCAAGUUUUUUUACGCUAUUAUCCACCAAUGAACAUAGAAAGGGGUCACUAAAGGUAUCUUCAGAUAUAACUUAUCCAGGGCCAUCAGUUAUGGUAUAAGCAUCCAAAGGAAUACUCAGAUAUAACUUAUAUACAACAAAUAGAGCCAACCAGAAGGUGUCUUCAGAUAUAAAGCCAUGUAAAAAAUUGUCACCCUGGAAAAAUAUUGCAUGCUUGAGAGAUCAGGAUGCACGUUUCCAUCUCUGUUUACAAGUUGCGACCAUGUGAGCAUGGUCUAUGUUACAGUAAAAGAAAGAGAAGAAAAACUACACCGAAACAGGUUAGUUUUAAGUCACAUGAUGGGGAAAAGGUGGAUUUACCAUUGGAAAAAAAUAGGUCUUAUUAGCACUAAGACACACAUCAGCAUAAAAGAUAAGGAAUGCCAGAACAUAGCAUCAGUAAGAAAAUAAAAAUGCAUAGAACAGAAGCACCACAAUUUGGGUCGAAACCUGACAUGGGUAAUAGACGAUUACUUUUGCUUCAAAAGAAUACAUCAAAGCUUCCAUUGGUCACUGAAACUUCUCCUGGCAUGAUAUAUGGUCCAGCAGAAAGCUACACUACUGGCAAGUAUAAGCAAAUAAUGUAUAGUUAUAAGCAAAUAAUGUAUAGUUAUAAAAGAUAUGGGUAGUUAACUCUACAAAUAACAACUCAAGAAUAACAUAUAGUUAUAAGUAGGUAGAACAUUGCUCUUCUACAACAAAAGAUUAUGAAAAGUUUAUGAUCCAACUAUUCAAUAGUAGAUAAUGGUACAGUUUUGUGUAAUGGAACAAACACAUUCUAUUUAUUACCCUGAUUUGUUAGUUUAAAGGCAAUUGACAGAGGAAAUUUAAGAUAAACAUGGCCAUUCUGUGUAAGCAAAAUAACACAAACAGUGGCAAGAAAUAGGAUACAGAGAUUACAACAAUGCCAGUACACAAUCUGACUUCACCUACCAAGACUAAUAGUUGUUCUCUUUUAGUGGUAAUCUUCUAUCUGGGAGAGUUACAAAUUUGUUCGUAACAAAGAAAAAAAUGAAUUUUCUGAAUCACUAAUUUUAUGCACCAAGUAUCAUUCAAAUAGGAAUAUGCAGCACUAAGAUUGAAGAUAGUGAACCUGACCGAAGGUUGGAUUAUCCAUAGUUUGGUUGGGGAUAGAGAUACCAAGGAAUUGAUGAUCCCAGUCUCUCUCUGGUUUGGUCCUCAAGGGUGCCCAACAAUGUAUUCUUUUUGGAUGGCUACUGCAUAACGGAAGAAUGAACACAUUUCGAAAUUUACACAAGACCAUACUUGAUUCAGACAUCUGCCCCAUGUGUCUCCAAGCCACAGAAACUUGCUCUCGUCUAUUUAUUCAGUGUCCUACAACAAAAGUUGUUUGGUGUGGUACUGGCAUACUCCAAACUGGCAGGAAAUCAUCAAUUCGAAGCGUUUCAUGACUUUGCUUAUCCUUUGGAACAUUUGGGAUCCUUGAAACUCUCAAGUAUUCAGACAAUACAUGAAGCACAGAAAUAUGGCAUGGGAAGUUGUUUUGAGACAAUACAUGAAGCAGGCCAAGCACUCCCUCUUCAAGUAGCUCAUGGAGCUUGGGGCGGCGAUGACGCACGACAGCGAUCUGGGGCGGUGGCGAGCAACGCAUAACACUAGCGGCGACACGAACAAACGCUUGUCGGCCGGAGAACCGUCGAGCUCAGGGCACAGACGGAUGGCGACGCCGAUCGUGGAGACUCGCGGCUGCUGUUGGGACCAUGCUGGCGGCGGCGGCGGCGCAUCCCAUUCUACAAAUGCUUGUAAAAAAUCUUUGCAACUCCAGAUCAAAAUAAGAUUUUUGCAGACGGACAUCAAUGUUGACUAAAUCGUAAUAAUGUAACAAAAAAUAGCUGAUCAUUAUUUUAUUCUUUCAAGUGGCACCAGGCACUUAAUUCUACUGAAAAAUAUGCACAUACACACUGGCCGCAUGCCCAGAGAAGUUAGCUCCACGCAAACAUUUGCAUAUCAGGUCUUGUCAUCUUGUGCAACUGUAAUGGAGUUUUGACAGAUUGAUUUGAGCAAAAAACAUGGGUCUGCAAGUCUGAACUAAUAAUAACAGCACGGCAAAGAGAAUAUUUAGGCCAACAGAUCAGGCAAUCUGCUACUACAUGCAUGCGUGUGGAAAGAGGGGUGUUGAAGGCAUUAAUCUGAGAAACACAUGUUGGACAACCCCAGAAACUACAGAGAGAAAAGUUAUUUAGUACACGCUAAGAAACACACAUGUUUCUUUGUUGAUCAAUGCAUAUGUUGCACUUGAAUACACCUCCUAAUCCUGGUUUGCUAGGUGCAGCUAGCAUAUCUAUUCUGAAGAGCUACUUGUUAACUGGAAAAAAACAUAAUCGCAGUCAGAGCAAUGGGACAGAAACAAUGACUAAAAUAGGGGAUACCAUCGAGUGAUUAGCUUUCAAGGGGAUGCAUACCUCUCGUGUAGCCGCCACAGGAGACAUUGCACGGCUCGACGGAUGUUCUUGUUCCUCCGGCGAACUCGGCGCUUUUUCCUCCGGCGAACUCGGCGGUGACAUUGGACGUUUGGUCAAAAAUUGUAAUUUCGACGGGAUGAUGGAGAUUAUGGUCCCGAGGCACGACCUAAUGGAGAUUCCGGCCGAGGACCCUUACUAAUAGCAGCCAAUCAAAUCCGGGUCGGGCGCUCCAUCAAUUUGUGUUGGAGAAGGACAGGGCCGGUUUCCAAUUUCCUAUCCAAAUCACAACACAUCAGCAGUAAGUCGGAGGUUGAGACGGAUACGACAAAGGAGUCCGGAGAGGACUGGUGGCGGCGGACGGCCAGUGCUAGCGGCGAAUGGCCGGCGUACCCACAGGAUGCUGUCCCACCUUCCAUCCUCCAUGAACGCCCACGAGCACAGCUGGCGCACCCACAGGAAGUUGACCCCCCUUCCAUCCUCCAUGAACGCCCACAAGCACGCAAGGGUGGACUCCCUUACCCAAGCACGCACCCACGGCAUCCGCCUUCUCCUCCACCGCGGUUGUAGCCGUCCGACGACAAGGGCGCUGCCCGUCACCUGCCCAUGCUCCGCCGUCGCUGGAAAAGGAGGAGUUUGGAUAAGAUGAAUUAGAGAACGGACCGUAUUUCAAACAAACAUAGGGUUUUUUAUGUAAAAAUGAAGCGUUUAGGUCCACGCCGAGGCUGAACCCGCCGCCGUGCCAGAGCAGCCGGCGCGCGUUCGGCUGGAACCGGGUAGGCGGCGGCCCGUGGCCCAUAGCAAAUUUUCUGGCCCAUGUAAUAUAAAGCUGUGAAAACAAAAUUGGACGGACGAAAUUUAGUACCACCUCACGUAUAUGUUUUAAAUUCGAAUUGAAAGCGUAAAUUCACGGGAAGAAGCGUAUUAUGACGGUGAACCCACGGAGUCAAUCCGUGCUUUAUUAUUAAAAAAAAUUAAAAAAAUAGGGAAAGAUUAUAUAUUAUAUACUAGUACAAAUGCCCGUGCGUUGCAACGGGCGUGGAAUCUUACAAAACCUGCUCCAUAUGUCGUUAGGUACAAUUUCCCUUUUUCUUGAGUUGGAAUCGCUGUGAUUUAUUAACCAGUCUCCAUUGAUUCUGAGCGUGAUAACACACGCUGGCAAGACAUGAAACCAUGUUUUAGAAAGCUUAUUCUUAUUGCAACUAAAACAUGGGCAACUUUGUUCUUGAACAACGCACCCAGCAAACCUUGGACUCCAUGAAGUCCUGAAUUUCUUUGUCAUAUACGCACCAUUUCUUAUAUUCAGUUCUAAUAAACGUCGGUACUAGGUUACAUUGUUGCUUCUCGGUUGAAUUUUGGUCGUUCAGAAGCCACCAUGGCAUUCUUCGCCUAAUUGAAGACUUCAUGGAAUAGUGUUUGAUUCAGUUUUCUUUUUUUUUUAUUUCAGAAAACAUGAUUUGUUUAAUAAAAAUAAGUGCUUUAUUAAAAAAUAGUGACUGUUUUUAAAUGGAACAACUUUUGGGAAUUUUGACCAGUUUUUAAAAAGUGUGAAUAUAUAAAACUAUUUUUACUAUGUUGAGUUUUUUUAUAUAUAAGUUUGUUCUUUGGUGGGGAGUCGUUAUUCUUGUAUUUUUCAUUAUUUGGGCUUGGCCCAAAGAAAGCUCUUGACAUGGACAUUUCACGUACACAGAUAACACUUUGGUGAUUCUCAAAAAAAAAACACUUUGGUAUUAAAAAAAGGAGUGUCUAUUACAAUCGACUGAAAUUGAAUUGGCCUUUAAUCAACUACUUGUAGAGGAAACUGCUGAACACAAACAUGCUAUAAUUCAUCAUUCGGCUGCCGUAAAAUCAUCAUCAACUUGCUGUACAAUGAUCAACACAUUAUGAACUAAUCACAUACUAAAUAUUUCAUCGUCAUGAAGCUUUAAAUACAGUUUUUUCGACUGAAAUUUACAGUCAACUCACUAUGAUAAACAGUAACUUUAAAAGUGUAUCGAGCUUUGAUGAAUUUUACAGUGUUCGUUUUACUAUAAUUCCAGUCAGUAACAACCAGAUCACAACAAAGAUACUGGAACUUCCGUAAAAAUAAGGAGAAACAACCAGUAACAAUGUGUGCUUUAUGAUCAGAUAAGAACGAAAAAAAGGAUGGAGGAAGAAGGGGACAUAAUAGCUACACAAUCAGGAAACUACAGUCACACCAAGAAGACAAACUGCAGGUCAAUACUCUCGCAAUCUCCUCCAAAUAGUUCUUCCAGUACAAGAAGAUCAACACCUAAGAGCAUCAUCAAAACAUGUCUAGAACACCAAUAGUUCAGAAAAAUGUAGCACCAUAAAUUAAGGUAACUGUAUACUGUAAAAUCUAUACCAGGUCAUUGUAAAAUACAACAAUCACAACCUUUAUGGUACUGCUGUAAAUUACAGAAGUUGUAGGAUUGUAAAUCUUCGAACAGGGUAGUGUAAAUUCAAGCAGAAGGUCACUGUAAAUUCAAACAAUCAAAAAAAUUAUAGAGCUGUAAAUUAUAGAAGCUACAGGACACUAAAUUCAUCAUCAGGUUAGUCAUCAAUUAACUAUAAUUUACUACGAAAACAAAAACAAGUAGACUUCUUUGAGUACUACAGUACAGUAAAAUCCAUCAUAGCAAUUCAAAAAAUUCUAGUAGCUACAGGGCAGUUAUUCGAUCGUCGUGUAUUGUAAAUUCAUCAUGAAGAAACGGUAAAGUAAACACAAACUUUUAGAAGGCACUCUAAACUGGACAGUAUUACCUGUUAAUCAGAAACAAAACAAAAUAAAUUUCUAAAGGACGAACAAAAUGAACUUCUUCACUGACUUCACUCAACAUACAUAGACAAACAAAUCGGAAAAAUAUAUCACUUCACUUGCAUGACUUCACCCAACAUACAUAGACUAACAAGUCAAAAAAAUAUAGGGGACAAUGAGGUGCUUCACUUGCAUGACUUCACCAACAUACAUGGAAAAACUCUGAACCACAACCCUUAAAUAUGAUUCUUCUACUGCAUGUAGGGGCUUGACUCCACCCAACAUACAAAGAUAGAAGGUCAGCAUGUGCAUCAUUCAAGGCGGCCAAAUAUGGCAAAGGACAUGGAAUUUAUAUACACUGAAGAUGAACCUUC